This 254-nucleotide ribosomal RNA is filed under the name uncultured bacterium. Its description in RNAcentral is "partial 16S ribosomal RNA". It matches the Rfam family "Bacterial small subunit ribosomal RNA", at positions 524 to 776 of the family's 1533-position model. The record is from RNAcentral.
UACGGGGGGAGCAAGCGUUGUUCGGAUUUACUGGGCGUAAAGGGCGCGUAGGCGGCCAGCACACGUCGGUUGUGAAAUCUCCGGGCUUAACUCGGAAAGGUCAACCGAUACUGUGCGGCUAGAGUGCGGAAGGGGCAACUGGAAUUCUCGGUGUAGCGGUGAAAUGCGUAGAUAUCGGGAAGAACACCCGUGGCGAAGGCGGUUCUCUGGGACGGUACUGACGCUGAGACGCGAAAGCGUGGGGAGCGAACAGG